This 501-nucleotide ribosomal RNA is filed under the name uncultured bacterium. RNAcentral describes it as "partial 16S ribosomal RNA". It matches the Rfam family "Bacterial small subunit ribosomal RNA", at positions 30 to 523 of the family's 1533-position model. The record is from RNAcentral.
AUUGAACGCUGGCGGCAGGCUUAACACAUGCAAGUCGAGCGGGGUGAUGGUGCUUGCACUAUCACUUAGCGGCGGACGGGUGAGUAAUGCUUAGGAAUCUGCCUAUUAGUGGGGGACAACAUCUCGAAAGGGAUGCUAAUACCGCAUACGUCCUACGGGAGAAAGCAGGGGAUCUUCGGACCUUGCGCGAAUAGAUGAGCCUAAGUCGGAUUAGCUAGUUGGUGGGGUACAGGCCCAUCAAUGAGACGAUCUGUAGCGGGUCUGAGAGGAUGAUCCGCCACCCUGGGACUUAGACACGGCCCAGACUCCUACGGGAGGAAGCAGUGGGGAAUAUUGAACAAUGGGGGGAACCCUGAUCCAGCCAUGCCGCGUGUGUGAAGAGGGCCUUAUGGUUGUAAAGCACUUUAAGCGAGGAGGAGGCUACUCUAGUUAAUACCUAGGGAUAGUGGACGUUACUCGCAGAAUAAGCACCGGCUAACUCUGUGCCAGCCGCCGCAGUAA